Molecule: long non-coding RNA, 722 nt
Organism: Apis cerana (Asiatic honeybee)
Lineage: Eukaryota; Metazoa; Arthropoda; Insecta; Hymenoptera; Apidae
Source: RefSeq, a predicted model, not a curated record
AUUGAGACGUCGAACCGUGCGCGAACGAAAUGAGUCAUAUGUUUGAAAACAAUAUUUUGCUGAAUCGAAUUGUGAAAUACGACAAUGAGUGUAUAUAAACAAAUGUGGUUAAACGGUUACGCGAACGAACAUCGGUAUAAGUGUAUUUACAAUCUAUCUCAGUCUUCGCGGAUUCGUUCGAAAGGAAACGUGUGAUUCACGCCAUUGUUCGCCAUUAUUCGCUGCCAACUUGCUGCCAAUUCUACAAAUUACUGAUGGCUUAACGUUCGCCGAUAAGAAGAACGGACAAAGGAAAGGAGGUGAAAAUCGAACGGCAUUCCACCCGGAGAAGGAGAGGCUGCUACGAUAUUUAUGGAUGCUGGAUUUAGGAGAAAUUGAAUAUGUAAAAGGUAAGUAUAAAACAGGUAAGUAUGUCAAAUUCUAUAAUUAGAUGUAAGUAAAAUGAUGAAAAAAUUAAAAAAUUGUUCCUGAAAAUAUUUAAAGAGGUAAGUAUGUGAAAGGUAAGUAUAAGGUAAGUAUAAGGUAAGUAUAUUUCACGUGCGACCUCUUCUGAAAUUAUAUUCUCCUGAUAGAAAAACCUAAAAAUUCAACAAAAAUGAACUCUGAAAUUCUUAGAAAAAUUUCACGUGCCACCUCCUUUCCAGUUAUAUUUUCCUGUUAUAAAAGUCUAAUUUUGGAAAAAUUUUUCCUGUUUAAAAUUUCGACUUUGUAUUAGGAGAACA